Molecule: long non-coding RNA, 1606 nt
Organism: Solea senegalensis (Senegalese sole)
Lineage: Eukaryota; Metazoa; Chordata; Actinopteri; Pleuronectiformes; Soleidae
Exons: 2
Source: RefSeq, a predicted model, not a curated record
UGCUUUUACGUGUGUGUGUAUGUGUGUGCGCGUGUGUGUGUGUGUUGGCUGGGGUCUCGGGGUGGGUGUUUUGUCCAGUGUUCACCAAAAGCUAAAACCUGUCAGGCUUCCAUACUUCCCAAUGGAACCUCCUGACGUUAUAGCUGCAAACCCUCAUCAUGUGAUCUGACUCAACUCGACUGUCCAUAACCCCUUCAGUCACCUGACCAACCAAAUCAACCAAUCACUGUCCACCACUACCGCCUACCCUGCGCCAUCCUUUUGCUGCACACCACGUCAGCCCCAUGUGAUGUUCUCCAUCGAUAACAUACUACUGUCACGAUCUACUGUUACAUGCUGACAGCUCUGGGGUUUAAUCUGCAUCUGGAGUGGACGUUCAAGUGUUUGAACUUGAGGUGCGCUUGAUUUGUUCGACUAACACGUGGUGCUUUCCACCAUUUGGAUUGUUUUUAAAAAUACAUCCUAAAUCUUUCUCCUAAAAUGCGAAGAAAAACGAGAAUACCUCAAGUUUUCUUGGGACCAACUUUCUUAUAAGCCAAAAACUUUGCAUUGGAUUGUAAUCAACAAAUACCACCCGCCUGAGUUGUGAAAUAUUUCGUUCAAAAAUUGGAUGAACUUACCCUUUAAUCCAAACUUCACUUGAAAUCCAUUUUGAAUCCAGUUAUUUUAAACCCCAGAGCUGCAUUUUACAUUCUACUGUCCAUACUAGUGUACGUGCUGCAUACUACCUGACCAGGUCAGAAUCCACCUUAACCUGUCUCCAUGCCAACCACCGAGGAGCCUGUUGCACGGCAACCGGCUUCCGCCACCACCAACCAACAAAACCUACCAACCAUCUUCCCUCGCUCACCGAGGCCACGCCCACCUGACUUUGAUCGUUCCAUAGAAGGAAGAGUGAGGAUAGGAAGAAGGGAUGACGAGUAAAAGAGAUGUAGUUGUGACUCUCAGGGUGUCUUAUAUAGAUCUACUGUUCAGUCUGUCCUCUAGUGUCCCACAGGUGUCCCGUUGCCCCUUAACUCAGCCCAAAGACCAUCACGUCCUUCCACGAUAAAUUCCUUGUACAAUCGAUUGACCGCUGACCAAUUCCCCUCGAUCACUUGAGUGAUAGCAUCGAUUGACCAGUUCUCUACACAGCCAGGUGAAUGAAGCUAGGCACUGUAACUAAUGUUUACAACCCAAAUGAGACCAACAACGCUGUUGAAAGAAUGUCUAGGACUUUUUUUUUUAAGAAACAAAAACAAAAAGGGAGAGAGAGAGAGAAAGAGACAAAUCUCUGAAGAGUACUUAUUUCUAAAUGAUGGAACUUUUCGCUUACUUUCUAUGUGACAUGAGGUAAUGUAAUUUUUUUCCAAUCAUUGCAUGUGACUAUUUUUGAUUUGCAAUGAAAAAAAAACUGUUAGAAUGGAUGGUACAUUUGUGACGUCAGUGCAACGUUGAGACGCCGAUGCUAGAAAAAUCAAUGUUGGUGUUCUCACAAAGUGUUUUCAUGUCGUCGUGAGGAGUGCUUAUGGACCAAUGAAUGCUAAAUGUGUGACCAUACAAAGCUGUAAAGGUUUUGUUUAUUUGUACAUGGUUAUGGGUAAAAUAAACCAUUGAAGCAAAGUAA